This 469-nucleotide ribosomal RNA is filed under the name uncultured bacterium. RNAcentral's name for it is "partial 16S ribosomal RNA". It matches the Rfam family "Bacterial small subunit ribosomal RNA", at positions 28 to 507 of the family's 1533-position model. The record is from RNAcentral.
GACGAACGCUGGCGGCGUGCUUAACACAUGCAAGUCGAACGGAAAGGCCCUGCUUUUGUGGGGUGCUCGAGUGGCGAACGGGUGAGUAACACGUGAGUAACCUGCCCUUGACUUUGGGAUAACUUCAGGAAACUGGGGCUAAUACCGGAUAGGAGCUCCUGCUGCAUGGUGGGGGGUGGGAAAGUUUCGGCGGUUGGGGAUGGACUCGCGGCUUAUCAGCUUGUUGGUGGGGUAGUGGCUUACCAAGGCUUUGACGGGUAGCCGGCCUGAGAGGGUGACCGGCCACAUUGGGACUGAGAUACGGCCCAGACUCCUACGGGAGGCAGCAGUGGGGAAUAUUGCACAAUGGGCGGAAGCCUGAUGCAGCAACGCCGCGUGCGGGAUGACGGCCUUCGGGUUGUAAACCGCUUUCGCCUGUGACGAAGCGUGAGUGACGGUAAUGGGUAAAGAAGCACCGGCUAACUACGUG